GCGGGUGGAGAAAUAGUCCCAAUAUCAUAACAAUCUUAAAUAAAACUUCUAAAUAUGCCCGUGUGUGUACCCGUGUGCGCGCGCGCGUGUGUAUGUACAGUAUGUGCGUGAGUUUUUAAUUUAAAAUGUCUUAACUUAACUCGGAAGGAUCUGAAUCACAGGUCAUUUCAUCUGAGAUCAUUCCGCAUGUAACAGCCGGAAUCACUCACUGUUUCCCACAACGACACAAGUCAUCAGCCGUUUCCUCAAGGUCACGUCAGAGCGGUGAUGAUGAGAGGCAGACCACCACCAUACGCGAAGAUGAGCCUCGAGGCGUGACAGUUAUUUUUUCAAACUGAGGAGUUCGGACUCCGGACCGGCAUUUCUGCUUGUUUGUACCCUGAGAUAACCAUGGUUAAUAAAUGGUCAGACACGUCACUGGCUUAAAAAUAUAAACCCCAUUGAUGCAAAAAGAUGCUGCGUGGAAUGACAAUGUUGUUUGGAACAGACUUGGUGAAGAACAUGGAAACAUCUCUUAAUAAAAUGGCCCCAAACAUCAUCAGGAGUGCAAAAGAAGGAAGUAAAAACAUCUCUACGCCAAUCUCAUUGGAGAGGAAACCACAGAAGGUCUGGUGAGGAAUGCUGCACUUAUGUUAUUGCAAGCAUUAUUUCAAGAAAAUGCCAGCUUCCUUGACUGUGUAAAUAGUGAACCCAAAGGUCCCACACCAACCAUAGUGUUCAACGGCUCUCCUGAUCUUCUCAAAUCUGAAAGUAUCAACUUUAUAAUGGACAAUGUGAACUUAAUAUGUGGAAGACAUUGACAUCACAGGCUGUGGAAUGAUGUGUCACAGGUCGGAGAAGCGGACCGCCCCUGUCGCGGAUCACGCUCCUCCUAGUUCCACCUCGAGGAGGUCCCAAAGCACCCCAAUGACCAGACAAACCAGAGAUAAGUAAAAUAUAGAAAUAAAAACUUUAUUUAAAUUAUUUAAAACUAAAGUGGGGAAUGGGAAAGGGAAUCUAAAAAUCUCGCUUCUCGCCCUCAGGGGGAGUAUUACGGGGCCAGGGACGUUGGAGGGGUUUCCACGUGACUCCAGCUGGAACACCGCUACAGAGCGUAUCUGGGUGGGUUGGGCACACACCGUCGCGGCGGCCCCUGAUGGCAUCCACAAAGGUCCAAGACCCUCCUAAGCUCCUAGCCAUAGCAGAACUACGUAUUUCAGCACCCGAAGGACUAACAACCCAGCCGGCAUCUGCAGCGUAUAUCCAACGCGAUCAAACUUCACUCUGACAAGUAACUUCCUAUACACAACCACGCCGUCCUUUCGCCCGGACCAGCCCCGCACUCUUUCCGCCCGCUACCUAGCGGUCGCCGGAUCAGCAGAGCCUGCAGACUCUUCGGAGGCUGGUCUUCGUUGUGCUGCCCAAGGCGGAAGUUGACUCGAAAAUCGACCCUUCCAGUAACUUCUACCUUCUCUCUUUAUAUCCUCCUCCAUGGCGUGGCUCGCCCAACCAUCGCUCGCCACGUCACUCACACAGCUGUGCCUUGUUUCAGCGAGUGCGGGGAUUCCCGGGGAACCCGGAAGUGCCGGUGUCUGUACAAACGGUCCGGGCGGAACCUCUUCACUCUCCUUUUGGUUCCGCCCCGCAUAGUCACUCCGUGACAACUGUUUGCGUUUUUUUUUCUCCUCAAUGUUCAAUACCCUUUUGCCAUUAAGCACACAGUGACUUUAAUUUAUAAAAUAUAUGCUUAAGUUUUAAUACCUGUACAAAACAAAUGUAAAAUCAACUUGUGUAAAUUGUCAUUCUAUUUAAUAGAUUGUUCAUGAAUUGUCUUUAAAUGCAUUGUGAUUUCGGUAACACUUUACAAUAAAGUUCAUUAGUUAACAUUAGUUAAUGUAUUAACUAACUUGAACAAACCAUAAGCAAUACAUUUGUUACAGUAUUUAUUCAUCUUUGUUAAUGUUAGUUAAUAAAAAUUUAAGCUUUAAUUGCUUGUUCAUGUUAGUUCAGAGUGCAUUAACUAAUGUUAACAAGAUUUUAAUAAAGUAAUUGUUGAAAUUAACAUUAACAAAGAUUAAUAAAGGCUGUUCAUUAUUAGUUCAUGUUAACUAAUGUAGCUAACUAAUGUUAACUAAUGAACCUUAUUUUAAAGUGUUACCGUGAUUUAUUUUCAUCAUUUCAGACACAUGUAAAAGUUACUAAAAAUAAGUACUGCAUAUACUGUACAGUAUCUAUGCGUAAGGGAAAUAACUUGAACAAAAUUUUUAAUGUAUAGUGUAAUUAAGAGUUUAGCUGUUUAAUACAGAGAUGCAAUUUAUUUAUAUAUAUUAUUUAUAUAUAAACGUAUGUAUGUUUAUUAAAAAGUGAAAAUGCUUAAUGGAAAUAAUUAAAUAACUAAAUGGUUGAAUGUAAUGAGACAUUUUAAAUGUAAACUAAAGUUUUGCUGUCUAAUACAGAAUAAAGAGAUGUGAUUUUAAGUAA
Non-coding RNA from Misgurnus anguillicaudatus (oriental weatherfish), 2460 nucleotides. The record is from RefSeq and is a predicted model, not a curated record. NCBI's taxonomy places the organism in Eukaryota, Metazoa, Chordata, Actinopteri, Cypriniformes, Cobitidae.